CAGUAGCCGCGGUAAUACGAAGGGGGCUAGCGUUGCUCGGAAUGACUGGGCGUAAAGGGCGCGUAGGCGGCGAUCAAAGUCAGGCGUGAAAUUCCUGGGCUCAACUCUGGAACUGCCUUUGAUACUGUCGAUCUGGAGUAUGGAAGAGGUGAGUGGAAUUCCGAGUGUAGAGGUGAAAUUCGUAGAUAUUCGGAGGAACACCAGUGGCGAAGGCGGCUCACUGGUCCAUUACUGACGCUGAGGUGCGAAAGCGUGGGGAGCAAACAGGAUUAGAUACCCGCGUAGUCCCUGUCUCUUAUAA
Molecule: ribosomal RNA, 301 nt
Filed under: uncultured bacterium
Lineage: Bacteria
Description: partial 16S ribosomal RNA
Rfam family: Bacterial small subunit ribosomal RNA
Source: RNAcentral